This 712-nucleotide ribosomal RNA is filed under the name Staphylococcus hominis. Its description in RNAcentral is "bacterial SSU rRNA". It matches the Rfam family "Bacterial small subunit ribosomal RNA", at positions 21 to 715 of the family's 1533-position model. The record is from RNAcentral. Lineage: Bacteria; Bacillati; Bacillota; Bacilli; Caryophanales; Staphylococcaceae.
GGCUCAGGAUGAACGCUGGCGGCGUGCCUAAUACAUGCAAGUCGAGCGAACAGACGAGGAGCUUGCUCCUUUGACGUUAGCGGCGGACGGGUGAGUAACACGUAGGUAACCUACCUAUAAGACUGGGAUAACUUCGGGAAACCGGAGCUAAUACCGGAUAAUAUUUCGAUCCGCAUGGUUCGAUAGUGAAAGAUGGCUUUGCUAUCACUUAUAGAUGGACCUGCGCCGUAUUAGCUAGUUGGUAAGGUAACGGCUUACCAAGGCGACGAUACGUAGCCGACCUGAGAGGGUGAUCGGCCACACUGGAACUGAGACACGGUCCAGACUCCUACGGGAGGCAGCAGUAGGGAAUCUUCCGCAAUGGGCGAAAGCCUGACGGAGCAACGCCGCGUGAGUGAUGAAGGUCUUCGGAUCGUAAAACUCUGUUAUUAGGGAAGAACAAACGUGUAAGUAACUGUGCACGUCUUGACGGUACCUAAUCAGAAAGCCACGGCUAACUACGUGCCAGCAGCCGCGGUAAUACGUAGGUGGCAAGCGUUAUCCGGAAUUAUUGGGCGUAAAGCGCGCGUAGGCGGUUUUUUAAGUCUGAUGUGAAAGCCCACGGCUCAACCGUGGAGGGUCAUUGGAAACUGGAAAACUUGAGUGCAGAAGAGGAAAGUGGAAUUCCAUGUGUAGCGGUGAAAUGCGCAGAGAUAUGGAGGAACACCAGUGG